Oncorhynchus tshawytscha (Chinook salmon) is the source of this 2620-nucleotide RNA transcript. RefSeq lists it as uncharacterized. NCBI's taxonomy places the organism in Eukaryota, Metazoa, Chordata, Actinopteri, Salmoniformes, Salmonidae. The record is from RefSeq and is a predicted model, not a curated record. The transcript is spliced from 7 exons.
UUUAUUUCUAUGUUUUGGAGAAGAAGAAGAAGAAGAUAUCUCCCACUAUCCAGCUAGUCGGAGUGGUCUAUCGCUUGCUUUGACCGCUGAUUGUUACUGAUAAUCAUCCCAAACAACUCCUUCUUUUUAUAUUAGAAGAAAUAGCUAUAUGAAGAGUCUCCGGUGUAAAGGGGAAACGGCUCCAACUCACGAUGGAAGACUGCUUGCACACUUCUUCAGAGAACCUGUCUAAGCUGGUCCGCUGGGCCCACAGUCACGGCACCAUCUGUGCUCUCAUCCCGAACCUCAAACACCUGCUUACCGAGGGUUCCCAUGGGAACCUGACCGCCAUGUGGGGGUGCAGCGCGGGCCACGCCUACCACUGGCCCCUCCCCGCCACCUGUAAAACAGGCCAGAAGGAGCGGGGGGGCUGCUUCCAGGACAGCCGAAGCAUCAACUCAGACAGCCUCAGUGUCCAGGGAGGGGCCUCAGCCCGUCAGAGCAGCCCAGGAGGUGAGAGGUUUCUGGGCCGCUCCACCAAGGCCAAGGGAGGUGACAGCAGCCAGACACGGGACUCCUGCGACUUCUCCAACUGCAGCGACGACAACACAGAGGCUGACGACAACACCGAGGAGUAUAACAGCAACCUGUUUGAUAUUGUCUGUGAGUCUUCAGCCACGACGGACGAGGAUGGAGACGUAGACUACGAGCCUCAUCACAGACCCAGGAAGAGGGGUCCCCCGGGAGGCAUGCCCGGCCCCCAGAGACCAGGGUCUGAGGACAGGGGACAGGGGGACAAGUCAGUGAAGAAGAUCAAGCAGGAGACUGCUGAGGACUUUUACACAGUACCUAAAGCCCAGCUAGCAGCAGGGGUAGGUACUGACUCUGGCCUAGCCUCUCACUCAGUCUCCCAGUCCCCAAAACCUAAUAAUUCCCUGUCCCACCAUGCAUUGCCACACAAACCCUUGCAGCUGGACGCCGACUGUUUGGUUGGUGGUGUGUCGUCGUCUCUGCUGGGCCACUCCUUUCCUCACAAACCUCUCCGAGGCUCUAUCUCCAGCUCUGUCUCCAAACCUUCCAUGAUGAGCACUAGUUCUCCCAGACACCAGGACCUGUCUUCGGUGUCGACCCAGGGCCUGAGCACCCUCCCUGGGGCAGGUAGUGAGCUGAUGGAGGACCUGCUGAACCAUGGAGGAUCUGAGGGGCCGUUGGGGAACCUGACUCCCUCCUCUCCCAGUGGGAUGAACCCUGACCUGGACCUCCUGGGAGCAGAGACCAAAGGAGAGGCAACAGUGGGACCAGCUCUGUGUGAGAUAGAGCGGCUGCGAGCGUUGCUGAGUGUUGAGCGGAGCCGCAGUGAGCAGAUGGGGGAGACCAUCUCUAGUCUGAAACAGGACAAGGAGCUGCUGCAGCAGGAACUCACUAAGAAGGCUGAACUCAUCUGUGACUUCCUGCAAGACCAGCUACGACCAGGUACGCUCUUACUACGCCCAGAGAAGAGGCGUGGUCUUUCGUCCAGCCAGAUGGAGCUGGGGACGGGUAGCUCCUCCCACAUGGGGUGGGUUUCCCUGAUGAGGGUGUCGCUUUUGAGAACCCCGCCCUAUUCGACAGCUUUGAGGAGGUGGAGCUCCACAGGGUGAUGAAGAGCUCCAAGAGGAGCAGAGAUGGAGAGAACACACGAGUUAGGAUGAAGAACGUGGUGGGCGUCAUCGCCAGGUACAUGGCGGCCCUGCAGGAGUUCAGACGCAGCGUCUCCAUGAAGGUGGCGUUCGACCGCGUGGGCGUCGACCGCAACACCAUCUCACGGACGGCCGCCAUCGCCGAGCUGAGCCUGGCCGCUCCGGAGGUGUUCCACGCUCUGCCACCUUGGGACGAGAAAGAGGAGACGCUGGCUCACUACGCCCACCGCUGCAGGCAGGCCAUGGACGACACCAUCAGAGCCAAGAUCAAAACCAUGAAAACCAAGGGAGACCUACUGCCCAUAGUCAGCAAAUAACCCCAGAGACGGAAGGUGUGUCCUCGGAUGCCUGUAGGACAAACCAGACCAACACCAUCUGCGGUAGAUUACCUGCUCGGUGUUUUGACAAACGGUGGCAAUUUUAACAUGUAGAAUCGUCAGGAAAUGAACAGAAAAUGGGGGCCGAUGUUCUGUGGUCAAAGGCAAUGGGACGGCUGUGUACGGCCUACGUUCUCGUGUUGGUCUGUCUUGUCCUUAUGAUAAAAGCCUGGUCCACAGAUCUGUUUGUGUUGUCAUGCCAAGUUGGAAGGACGGCACAAACAGGUCUGGGACCAGGCUUGCCCUCUGAUCCCCAGUGAUGCUCGACUGCCAUUUCAAAACAAGUGAAAUGUUGUUAUUGCUCCAUUCCAUUUGUCUGGCCACCCCCACUAUGACCUUAACCCAUCAAUGAUGACAGACACCAUGACUAUCAUUAAAAAACACAUUGUAGUGCACAAAUGUUUGAUUUACUGUAAUGUGUAACAUUUAUUUCGUCUUUUGAACGAUGUGCUAAUGCUUUGAAGUGUUUUAGUAGUGGAGAACAACAUUGGAAAAUACUAUUCAAAUAAGGAUCUUAUUUUUGUCAAAAGAUUUUCCGGUACUUUUGGUGGUCUAUGUAAUUGUUUUUAAAGAGAUUCUCCAGUA